UAGAUAUUUAGUUGAUUUUAUACAAGGUUUGGGUAAAAUGUACUAGGUUCCUGCGACACCUUAAGUUAUACUCUAGAUUCGCCAUUAGCAACAUGUAUCCGAAUAUCAACUAGAGAUGAAGAUAGACCACUGUGUAGUGACCCCUACGCAAUAUUACUCGAUAUUACAAGUGAGAGUAGACUAUCAGUAUCCGUUUAUCAACGAAACACAACAAAAGAUAGGCUCAUGUAGCCUGUCAUGAAGUUUCGUUCGGGAUGUCCAUUCUCCAAAGACAAGCUUCCGAACAACUCCUUUAAGAACUUCCAGAAUCGCUUCAUGGGCAUUUUGAUCUCUUUAAAUCAAAAGAACACGCCAAAUGUUUGAGGCAUCAUAAAGAUUGAUGAUGCUUUCUACCUGUAAUUUCUCCAGAGCUUUUCAUUCCGAAAUUGAAUCUGUGAAGACUGAGCUGAGGAAAUUCAAAGACGCGAGAGGAGUGGAAAGUACCUCAAAAUAUGAUCCAUAUUCAAUCUGAUGAGGUAGCUAAAGUUAACGAAGUGACAAAUAAGCGGCGAAGAAGUUACGAAGAAGUGGAGGACAGUGGCGUUGCAGCAGUAACUAGUGAGAGAAAGUGAGAAGUGAGAGAUUUUAGAGCGACAUUAUAA
RNAcentral lists this unclassified non-coding RNA (641 nucleotides) under Hevea brasiliensis (rubber tree). Lineage: Eukaryota; Viridiplantae; Streptophyta; Magnoliopsida; Malpighiales; Euphorbiaceae. The record is from RNAcentral.